CCUUUAUUACCGAGUUUUAUUUUAUGUAUUACAAUUUGGGUUUGUCGUUUUCAUUAUAAAUACUUUAAAAAAAAAUCACUUUGAAAAUUAUUGCAACAUAUACAAUCGGUUUAAAUCAUACGUUUCCUCAAUAUCUUUGAGCUGUCACCUUCUGUCAGCUUUCUGAUAACCUCUAUUAUACACCUACGUGAAAAUAUGAAAGAUUACAUCAAUUUUCUUCAUUUGUGAUAAGAACGAUCGAGCAAAGAUGUUUUCAAGCGGACCGAAUUACACGAAAUUAAAGACGCAUCUGCGUCUGGCGAUUAAUCGGUUGAAAUUGCUCGAGAAAAAGAAAACUGAACUUGCUCAAAAAGCACGGAAAGAAAUAGCCGAUUACAUCGCUGCAGGUAAAGUUGAAAGAGCAAAAAUACGAGUUGAACACAUUAUCAGAGAAGAUUACAUGGUCGAGGCAAUGGAAUUGCUUGAAAUGUACUGUGAUCUUUUACUUGCACGUUUCGGGCUUAUUCAACAAAUGAAAAAUUUAGAUGAAGGUUUAGCAGAAGCCAUUUCUACAAUAAUUUGGGCUGCUCCUAGAAUACAAACUGAUGUUCAGGAAAUUAAAAUAAUUGCCGAUAUCUUAACAUCGAAAUAUGGGAAACAGUACACGGAAGCAUGUAGAGAAGAGGCAGUACAAACUAUUUCUGAAAAGUUAAAACAUAAGAUGAGCGUGCAAUCGCCAUCUAAGCUUCUAGUAGAGAAGUACCUCAUAGAGAUUGCAAAAAAUUAUAAUGUUGAAUAUGAACCAGAUCCACAGAUAAUGGCAGAAGGUCAAGAUGCUUUAUUGAUAGAUGUUGGAAAUAACACAGAAAGGAACAAUUUAGAUACAGCUUCUGGAGGCUUACCACAACCAGUUGGAUUUAUUGGUUUUCCUCAACCUCCUCUAUUACCAAAUCCUGCAUCUAAUCUAAUUAAUUCAGAGAAAGGACCUAUAGGAUUUGUAACUCCACCAGGAUCUUUGGAAAAUAAAGAUCAAAAUAUUCCUUACAAUCCAAGUAAUGUUUCAUACAACAUUCCCUUAGAUAACUCGAAUGGAAACAAACUUGAAAAUGAUCUGCCUCCACCAUAUGAAUCAUUUCCACCUGAUUUAAAUAAAGAGUCCGACCAGAAACCAAAACCUCAACCGCGAUCGAAAAUGCCGAUGAAUGAUUUUCAGCUUCCAGAUUUACCAGCCGUGCCAUCGGAGAAUGAUUUACCUUCGAAUAAUCCAUCUACUAGUGAAGACAUUGAUUUUGAUGAUUUAAUGAAACGCUUUGAAGAUUUAAAAAAAAGAAAAUAAUUUCUUAUUUAAGAUGUAUUACAAAUUUGUAUGUUGUAAUACAACAAAAAUAUAAUACAGUUCUUACACAAUAUGCAUCCAGUAUUUAUGAAAAAGAAUCGUAUACAGAAAUACGUAAAAAUGCAUUCUAGAAUGAAUUUAUUUCGGCUAUAAGAAUAGAUUAUAUU
Molecule: RNA transcript, 1482 nt
Organism: Frieseomelitta varia
Lineage: Eukaryota; Metazoa; Arthropoda; Insecta; Hymenoptera; Apidae
Gene: Ist1
Gene name: IST1 homolog
Exons: 7
Source: RefSeq, a predicted model, not a curated record